This 373-nucleotide long non-coding RNA is filed under the name Panax ginseng (ginseng). RNAcentral describes it as "long non-coding RNA (PGIN_LNC003149)". Lineage: Eukaryota; Viridiplantae; Streptophyta; Magnoliopsida; Apiales; Araliaceae. The record is from RNAcentral.
CAUGGUUCGGUGGGAGUCCAAGUAUCAACUUCAAGGUGCGAGGGGGUGCGCGAGAAGUACAAUUCGCAGGCCUCGUGGGUGGAGUAAAUAGAGUUGAAUCAGGUGGAGCACGGCCUCGUGUCAGGUGGAGCACGGGAUGAUUUGAGUCGGGUGGAGCGGGCUUAGGAAGGCUCUAGGGAAAUUGCUGAGACACCCAGGACGUGGUGAGACACCCAGGACGUGGUGGAGUAAUAUUAGAGUCAAGCAAGGCUCUUGAAGGACUCAAAAAGUAUUUGAAUCGGGUGGAGCAUGGCUCGGGAUGGCUCUAGGAAAAACUGCUGGGAGUAGUAUUAGAGUCGAGCAGAGAGCUCUUGAAGGAUUCAAAGAAGGUGUG